Long non-coding RNA from Oncorhynchus tshawytscha (Chinook salmon), 737 nucleotides. RefSeq lists it as uncharacterized. The record is from RefSeq and is a predicted model, not a curated record. NCBI's taxonomy places the organism in Eukaryota, Metazoa, Chordata, Actinopteri, Salmoniformes, Salmonidae. The transcript has 3 exons.
UUUUAUCUGUGGAUUAAUUGUCGGAGGGCCUUGUGCAUUUCAGGCUGUUGAAGAAGUAUUUGCAGUAUAUACUGUAACGUUCAGGGAAGAAUGACUUCUGAAACGGACCCCAACACUGCUGGUGUUCAAUACAACCGCUGGAAUGAAGACAACAUCAACCUGAAUGUGGCUGGAACAGGUGUAACGGGGCUCUACAACAGGGUCUGCACUGGCACCCUGGGCGUAGCUAUCAAGGUGGCCGGAGCUUUGGCUGCACUAGUGGCUGUUUACAUCAUAGGAUACCUCAUUGGAUAUUACGCCCACAAAUGCUGACCAGCCACUGACCGAAGGACCCUUGUUCAGAGAGGAAGGACCCUCAAUGGAUGGAAUUAUGUUAUGUAUCAAUUAUAUGUUAUGUAUCAAUUAUAUAUGGUUUUUUAAAUGACCAAAUAAUGGCUGUAUGAGAGGAUCAAAGAUUAUUGGAGCCACACUUUCAAUAAUAGUCAGGAUUUUUUGUUUCCUUUUUUAGAAAUGUUGGGAUUGCAGUUUGCUUGUUGUAAAGUGAUUUUACAGCUUCCCCACAGCUUUGUCUUUUAUGUGAAAUGCAAUUAGGCGAUUAAGUCCAAAAAUAUGAACAAAAUGUUUGACUUUUGUUAUUCAAUAUGUUCUUCUCAGUAAGUGAUAUUACAGUGCCUUCAGAAAGUAUUCAUACCCCUUGACCUAUUCCACAUUUUGUUGUGUUACAUCCUGAAUUUAAA